This 77-nucleotide transfer RNA is filed under the name Pseudofrankia sp. EUN1h. RNAcentral's name for it is "Frankia sp. EUN1h tRNA-Phe". It matches the Rfam family "tRNA". From Rfam's summary of the family: Transfer RNA (tRNA) molecules are approximately 80 nucleotides in length. Their secondary structure includes four short double-helical elements and three loops (D, anti-codon, and T loops). The record is from RNAcentral. RNAcentral also lists the same sequence under 1 other name. Lineage: Bacteria; Bacillati; Actinomycetota; Actinomycetes; Frankiales; Frankiaceae.
GGGCAGGUAGCUCAGUCGGUACGAGCGUCCGCCUGAAAAGCGGAAGGUCGGCGGUUCGACCCCGCCCCUGCCCACCG